This 3099-nucleotide long non-coding RNA is filed under the name Monomorium pharaonis (pharaoh ant). RNAcentral's name for it is "uncharacterized LOC118647069". The record is from RNAcentral. Lineage: Eukaryota; Metazoa; Arthropoda; Insecta; Hymenoptera; Formicidae.
UUUUUAUACCUGCCAAACUCGGAAAUAAAAAUAUGUACAAAAUAUUUAUCAUAAAUAUUUUUCCUUCUUAUAAUAUUUAAAAUAUUUUAUAAAUAUUUUAUAAAUAUUUUGUGCUAUCUGGGUUACAUUGCGCAUAGCGCCCUCUAAAGGCGCCAUUCAAGCGAAAUAUUGCACACAAAUUCUAUUUGACAAGACUUUUUGAACAAUAUAUAACACAUAUCCAUUCGCGAUUAACACUUGGUGCACUUCCUUUGUAAGACAUUUUGAUUUUUUUGUUUUAAAUAAAUAGAACGAGAGCUAUUCUGUACACAGAACGCCUACUUCGGCAGCAAGGCGCUAGAAACAUUGUGUCAUUUUUGCAAUAAAAUGUUUAAUUUUUUUACAAAAUUAUUUUGUUCACUUUAAGAUGUAAGUAAAACGUACCCAAAGUUUGGUAAAAGAUAAUUUUUAUUAUAUUGUAACUAAAAAAAUUGAAAUUAAACUAUUUUUCGGCCUCCUAAACGAGUUUCCUUCCUCGCCUUAGUCUUUUGUUACGGCCUUCUUAUUGUUAAUAUCUGUGUAUAUUAAAAUAAAAUGCCAAACCAAUUAGAUUCAGGAUUCGUUAAAGUUGAUUCAACGAAUCUGCCAAAAAUAAAUGUAUUUAUGGUUUGAGAAUAUAUUUUUAAUGAUUAUAAAUUUUUAAAAAUAUCAUUUACACACAAAAAAUUUUUUAUUAAUUGUAAAAUAUAAUUUUCAAAUAAUUUUAGAUGUACUUUAUAAAUAAAAAGUCCUAAAUACAAUGAUAUUUAAUGUAUGAGUUUAGAUUAAGUUUAGAUUAUAUAAGAUAUUUUUACAACAAUAUAUGCGUUGUUUGAUAUUUUUAUAAAUAUUAUAAUUAAAGCAUAAAAAAUAUGUUUAUAUAAUAAUAAUAAUAUUUACAUUAAAAUAAUUUUGACAACAAAAAUAACUCUAUUUUCCUAUUUUAUCAGUACAAUUAUGGGCACUUUUAAACCACUUUUUUCUCAUGCUUUCUGCUUGAGGCCUAUAAAAGAAUAACUUAUGUGAUAUUUUAAUUGUACUUUUACAUAAAGAUACAAAACACGUUUUAUAUGUGCUCUUUUUGCUUAUUUUUAAGAUAAAUGAAUAUUUUAAUACAUAAAAAAUAGUUUGGGUAUUGUAGUGUGACGUCAUAGAACGUUCGAGAGGACUCAUACUGUAUUCGGUGAUUUCCAUGAGAAAAAAAUACAAUUAAUAAUAUAUAUAAAUUAUAAAAUGCAAUUCUUUUUUUAAAUUAUUCAAACUAUUACGUUGUUGGUAACGGUGUUACUUUUCUUUUUUAUAAAUGUAAUCACAACGGAAUUAACGUUUAUUUGGUCCCACAAAUGAAAGAAAUAAUGCACAGUACCCACUAUAAAACAUGAAGUUUGUUUUUUAUUCCUGCACUGGCUGUACUAGUUUAAAAAGUAUACACUAAACCUUCAUUAUUCUAGCGCAGGAAAAUACUUAUAUAUAGUGUUUUCGACCAGCCUGGGUUAAUCGCUCCGGCAGCGAUUAAUGACGUCGUAAGACCAAUCACAGCCAUUCUUCUGAAGAAGAAAAUAACUGUGAUUGACCAGUUCUAGAGGAAAAGAAACCGAAACGGGUUAACCCAGCACCGGUCGAAAAUGCCAAUAGUCAAAGGUGUAAGCACACCUGUCCCGCGAACAUCCUGGGAAUAUCUCUGGAAUAUUCAAAUAUCUGUCCACAGGAAUAUCUAUUCAAAUAUGACAUCCAUAGGAGAAGGGUGUGCUGUAUAUUAUACAUAACAAGAAACCCUAUGGAAGUGUGACUCGCCGAACUUAAUGGAACUUUGCAUACUUAUAAUGAUAUGAAAAAUAAUGAACAUGUAUAUUUUUAUAUCGGAAAUUAAUGAUGUACUUUUAAAGGUUGAACACGCUUCUUGUGUGUAUAUACAGAAAGUUCGACCGGGACGAUAGAAUAUUUCGAAGGGAUUAAUACAAAAGAUGUAUUCCACCAUUAUAAUAAUUAUAUAAUAUUAAUUCUACUAUCCCGGUACUUUUCGAACUUUCUAUAUACACACAAAAGUUCGAAAAGUAUCGGGAUGGUAGAAUAAAUAUAAUUAUUAUAAUGAUAUUUUAUGACGUAAUGUAACGUUAUAAAAUAUGUAGUUGUUAAUGUUUUAUAUAAUGUUAUUAUAAAAAAUCUUUGAAUAGAACAUUAACAAUAAUAUUUCUACAUUAUAAUUAUAAUAUUUAGAAAUAUAUUAUGGAGUGAACAAUUCGAAAACAUCUAUAAAAUAUGUCAUAGAAUCAGGGACCCGGACCGAAUCAAAUUAAGAUUCGGUUAUGGUUACGGUUUAAUAAAAAAAUUUGAAAACUAGUUACGAUUUCAGUUUUAGUUCCUUGGCAAAUACAAAAAUCCAAAACCGUUUAAAUUUCGGUUUUUCCGUUUUGUUUCAGUUACGGUUCUGGUUCGUGAUUCUAAUAAUAUUAUUUAAUAAGUAAUUAUGUAAUAGUAAUUAUUAAUAUUUAUAUUUAAUAAUAUUUAAUAGUGUUUAAUAAUAAUUUAUAAAAAAUUAAGUAUGAAAGAAGGAAUUAAUUUGAAUUGUGCUACCAAUAAAUCUAUUGCUUCAAAAAAGAUGAUUGAAUGAGAGAAAUAAAAGAGGAAAAAGCAAAAAACUAGGAGUAGUUAAACAACAAUCCGCGAAGUUGCAAAUAAAUAGCAAUAAGCAAAAUAUGUACAAUUAUGGGUACUUUUAAACCACUGUUUUCUCGUGCUUUCUGCUUGAGGCAUAUAAAAGAAUAACUUAUGUGAUGUUUUAAUUUUAUUGAUAAUUCUUUAUAUCCAGAAUAUAUAUAAAGAAACAUACAAAUAUGUAACAAAAAUAAAAGAUGCAACCAUUUGAGAUAUCUUGUCACACAUUCAAUUGUAAGAUAAUGAUGUAUAAAAUAUAAGAAACGCACUUUUUAUAUACGCUAAUAUACUACUAUUGGUUGCAAAUUUUUCGAGUUUAUAAUUAUAAUUUUUACUCAUCCUUAAAACAAAAAAUAUAGUUAUAUAAUAUAAAACAAACUCUAUGUUAAUUUACCCGAAGAAUUAUCAGUCAAAUAAUCUUUGAAA